This 74-nucleotide transfer RNA is filed under the name Anaerolineales bacterium. Its description in RNAcentral is "tRNA-His". It matches the Rfam family "tRNA". Rfam says of the family: Transfer RNA (tRNA) molecules are approximately 80 nucleotides in length. Their secondary structure includes four short double-helical elements and three loops (D, anti-codon, and T loops). Further hydrogen bonds mediate the characteristic L-shaped molecular structure. tRNAs have two regions of fundamental functional importance: the anti-codon, which is responsible for specific mRNA codon recognition, and the 3' end, to which the tRNAs corresponding amino acid is attached (by aminoacyl-tRNA synthetases). tRNAs cope with the degeneracy of the genetic code in two manners: having more than one tRNA (with a specific anti-codon) for a particular amino acid; and 'wobble' base-pairing, i.e. permitting non-standard base-pairing at the 3rd anti-codon position. Lineage: Bacteria; Bacillati; Chloroflexota; Anaerolineae; Anaerolineales. The record is from RNAcentral.
GUGUCUGUGGUGGAGUGGUUGAACACGCCUGGCUGUGAACCAGGAGAACACCGGUUCAAACCCGGUCAGACACC